GUGCAGCAGUCGAGAAACCUUCGCAAUGCGGGAAACCGCGACGAGGGGACUCCCAGUGCCUACGCUCAGCGUAGGCUGUUCCCGAGCCUAGAGAGCUCGGGGAGUAAGGGCUGGGUAAGACGGGUGCCAGCCGCCGCGGUAAUACCCGCAGCCCGAGUGGUGGCCACUAUUAUUGGGCCUAAAGCGUCCGUAGCCGGCCCGGUAAAUGCCUGGGUAAAUCGUGAGGCCUAACCUCACGAAUUCCGGGUAGACUGCCGGGCUAGGGGACCGGAGGAGGGAGAGGGGUACUCCAGGGGUAGGGGUGAAAUCCUGUAAUCCCUGGAGGACCACCGGUGGCGAAGGCGCUCUCCUAGGACGGGUCCGACGGUGAGGGACGAAAGCCAGGGGAGCGAACCGGAUUAGAUACCCCC
Molecule: ribosomal RNA, 410 nt
Filed under: uncultured microorganism
Description: bacterial SSU rRNA
Rfam family: Archaeal small subunit ribosomal RNA
Source: RNAcentral